AUGAACGCUGGCGGCGUGCCUAAUACAUGCAAGUCGAGCGAACAGACGAGGAGCUUGCUCCUCUGACGUUAGCGGCGGACGGGUGAGUAACACGUGGAUAACCUACCUAUAAGACUGGGAUAACUUCGGGAAACCGGAGCUAAUACCGGAUAACAUGUUGAACCGCAUGGUUCAACAGUGAAAGACGGUCUUGCUGUCACUUAUAGAUGGAUCCGCGCCGCAUUAGCUAGUUGGUAAGGUAACGGCUUACCAAGGCAACGAUGCGUAGCCGACCUGAGGGGGUGACCGGCCAAACUGGAACUGAGACACGGUCCAGCCUCCUACGGAGGGCAGCAGUAGGGAAUCUUCCGCAAUGGGCGAAAGCCUGACGGAGCAACGCCGGGGGAGGAAAGAAGGUUUUCGGAUCGUAAAACUUUGUUAUUAGGGAAAAAAAAAUGUGUAAGUAACUAUGCACGUUUUGACGGUACCUAAUCAGAAAGCCACGGCUAACUACGU
This 495-nucleotide ribosomal RNA is filed under the name uncultured bacterium. Its description in RNAcentral is "partial 16S ribosomal RNA". It matches the Rfam family "Bacterial small subunit ribosomal RNA", at positions 29 to 506 of the family's 1533-position model. The record is from RNAcentral.